This 55-nucleotide transfer RNA is filed under the name Cyathophorum tonkinense. RNAcentral's name for it is "partial tRNA-Leu". It matches the Rfam family "tRNA", at positions 29 to 71 of the family's 71-position model. Rfam says of the family: Transfer RNA (tRNA) molecules are approximately 80 nucleotides in length. Their secondary structure includes four short double-helical elements and three loops (D, anti-codon, and T loops). The record is from RNAcentral. RNAcentral also lists the same sequence under 1 other name. Lineage: Eukaryota; Viridiplantae; Streptophyta; Bryopsida; Hookeriales; Hypopterygiaceae.
GACUUAAAAUCCGUUGGCUUUAUUGACCGUGAGGGUUCAAGUCCCUCUAUCCCCA